Molecule: ribosomal RNA, 253 nt
Filed under: uncultured bacterium
Lineage: Bacteria
Description: partial 16S ribosomal RNA
Rfam family: Bacterial small subunit ribosomal RNA
Source: RNAcentral
UACGAAGGGAGCUAGCGUUGUUCGGAAUCACUGGGCGUAAAGCGCACGUAGGCGGAUUUGUCAGUCAGGGGUGAAAUCCCGGGGCUCAACCUCGGAACUGCCUUUGAUACAGCAAGUCUUGAGUUCGAGAGAGGUGGGUGGAAUUCCUAGUGUAGAGGUGAAAUUCGUAGAUAUCAGGAAGAACACCGGUGGCGAAGGCGGCUCGCUGGGCCAGUUCUGACACUCAUCCGCGAAAGCGUGGGGAGCAAACAGG